GAGAAGCUGUAGCAACGACUGCUCCAUGUUUUCGGCUUCUGGCGAGGUAAUGUUCCAGCUGAUGGUUGUCUCCCCGUCAGAUAGUUGGCCACCUUGAUUGUCCUCAGCUUCUAAAUCCUUGCUCAAUCCCCCCUCCUCCUCUGCUCUGAUUCGCUUAUCUUGCUUCUUCAGUAUCGCUGGAACAGAGUCCCAGCUCGCUCUAAAGCGAUGCCUCCGCGGCGUCUCCUCCACUUGAGCAUGCUUCGAGUCGAGUAAGUUCACUUGAAUCUCUUCACUGAUCCCUUCCAGCAACCGAUCGCUAGUCUUCCCUUCUAUCCCAACACUAUUCUCUUGUUCCAACGUCGCAGACUCUUGGGUUGACAAGUUGUCUGCUCCAGUGGAAUCUCCCUGCUGCGAGAGCUUCCCAAGAGUCUCC
RNAcentral lists this long non-coding RNA (415 nucleotides) under Selaginella moellendorffii. RNAcentral's name for it is "long non-coding RNA (SMOE_LNC000629)". The record is from RNAcentral. Lineage: Eukaryota; Viridiplantae; Streptophyta; Lycopodiopsida; Selaginellales; Selaginellaceae.